AAUUUUGGGCAAUGGGCGCAAGUCUGAUCCAGCUAUGCUGCGUGAGAGAAGAAGGCCUUCGGGUAGUAAAGCUCUGUCGGACGGAAAGAAAUCGCGCUGGCUAAUACCCGGCGCGGAUGACGGGACCGGUUUAAGAAGGACGUCCUAACGACGUGCCAGCAGCCGCGGUAAUACGUAGGGUGCGAGCGUUAAUCGGAAUUACUGGGCGUAAAGCGUGCGCAGGCGGUUGAUUAAGACAGGCGUGAAAUCCCCGGGCUUAACCUGGGAACUGCGCUUGUGACUGGUCAGCUAGAGUACGGCAGAGGGGGGUGGAAUUCCACGUGUAGCAGUGAAAUGCGUAGAGAUGUGGAGGAACACCGAUGGCGAAGGCAGCCCCCUGGGCCGAUACUGACGCUCAUGCACGAAAGCGUGGGUAGCAAACAGG
Molecule: ribosomal RNA, 424 nt
Filed under: uncultured bacterium
Lineage: Bacteria
Description: partial 16S ribosomal RNA
Rfam family: Bacterial small subunit ribosomal RNA
Source: RNAcentral